GUGGGGAAUAUUGGACAAUGGGCGAAAGCCUGAUCCAGCCAUGCCGCGUGUGUGAAGAAGGUCUUCGGAUUGUAAAGCACUUUAAGUUGGGAGGAAGGGCAGUAAGUUAAUACCUUGCUGUUUUGACGUUACCGACAGAAUAAGCACCGGCUAACUUCGUGCCAGCAGCCGCGGUAAUACGAAGGGUGAAAGCGUUAAUCGGAAUUACUGGGCGUAAAGCGCGCGUAGGUGGUUUUGUAAGUUGGAGGUGAAAUCCCCGGGCUCAACCUGGGAACUGCCUCCAAAACUGCAUGACUAGAGUACGGUAGAGGGUAGUGGAAUUUCCUGUGUAGCGGUGAAAUGCGUAGAUAUAGGAAGGAACACCAGUGGCGAAGGCGACUACCUGGACUGAUACUGACACUGAGGUGCGAAAGCGUGGGGAGCAAACAGGAUUAGAAACCCGAGUAGUCC
RNAcentral lists this ribosomal RNA (450 nucleotides) under uncultured bacterium. RNAcentral describes it as "partial 16S ribosomal RNA". It matches the Rfam family "Bacterial small subunit ribosomal RNA", at positions 354 to 796 of the family's 1533-position model. The record is from RNAcentral.